This 1324-nucleotide ribosomal RNA is filed under the name Streptomyces scabiei. RNAcentral's name for it is "bacterial SSU rRNA". It matches the Rfam family "Bacterial small subunit ribosomal RNA", at positions 82 to 1416 of the family's 1533-position model. Lineage: Bacteria; Bacillati; Actinomycetota; Actinomycetes; Kitasatosporales; Streptomycetaceae. The record is from RNAcentral.
UCGGUGGGGAUUAGUGGCGAACGGGUGAGUAACACGUGGGCAAUCUGCCCUUCACUCUGGGACAAGCCCUGGAAACGGGGUCUAAUACCGGAUACGACACUCUCGGGCAUCCGAUGAGUGUGGAAAGCUCCGGCGGUGAAGGAUGAGCCCGCGGCCUAUCAGCUUGUUGGUGAGGUAACGGCUCACCAAGGCGACGACGGGUAGCCGGCCUGAGAGGGCGACCGGCCACACUGGGACUGAGACACGGCCCAGACUCCUACGGGAGGCAGCAGUGGGGAAUAUUGCACAAUGGGCGAAAGCCUGAUGCAGCGACGCCGCGUGAGGGAUGACGGCCUUCGGGUUGUAAACCUCUUUCAGCAGGGAAGAAGCGAAAGUGACGGUACCUGCAGAAGAAGCGCCGGCUAACUACGUGCCAGCAGCCGCGUAAUACGUAGGGCGCGAGCGUUGUCCGGAAUUAUUGGGCGUAAAGAGCUCGUAGGCGGUCUGUCGCGUCGGAUGUGAAAGCCCGGGGCUUAACCCCGGGUCUGCAUUCGAUACGGGCAGACUAGAGUGUGGUAGGGGAGAUCGGAAUUCCUGGUGUAGCGGUGAAUGCGCAGAUAUCAGGAGGAACACCGGUGGCGAAGGCGAUCUCUGGGCCAUUACUGACGCUGAGGAGCGAAGCGUGGGGAGCGAACAGGAUUAGAUACCCUGGUAGUCCACGCCGGUAAACGGUGGGAACUAGUGUUGGCGACAUUCCACGUCGUCGGUGCCGCAGCUAACGCAUUAAGUUCCCCGCCUGGGGAGUACGGCCGCAAGGCUAAAACUCAAAGGAAUUGACGGGGGCCCGCACAAGCAGCGGAGCAUGUGGCUUAAUUCGACGCAACGCGAAGAACCUUACCAAGGCUUGACAUACACCGGAAACGGCCAGAGAUGGUCGCCCCUUGUGGUCGGUGUACAGGUGGUGCAUGGCUGUCGUCAGCUCGUGUCGUGAGAUGUUGGGUUAAGUCCCGCAACGAGCGCAACCCUUGUUCUGUGUUGCCAGCAUGCCCUUCGGGGUGAUGGGGACUCACAGGAGACUGCCGGGGUCAACUCGGAGGAAGGUGGGGACGACGUCAAGUCAUCAUGCCCCUUAUGUCUUGGGCUGCACACGUGCUACAAUGGCAGGUACAAUGAGCUGCGAAGCCGUGAGGCGGAGCGAAUCUCAAAAAGCCUGUCUCAGUUCGGAUUGGGGUCUGCAACUCGACCCCAUGAAGUCGGAGUUGCUAGUAAUCGCAGAUCAGCAUUGCUGCGGUGAAUACGUUCCCGGGCCUUGUACACACCGCCCGUCACGUCACGAAAGUCGGUA